This 27-nucleotide ribosomal RNA is filed under the name Neocamarosporium betae. RNAcentral describes it as "partial 18S ribosomal RNA". The record is from RNAcentral. Lineage: Eukaryota; Fungi; Ascomycota; Dothideomycetes; Neocamarosporiaceae.
GAACCUGCGGAAGGAUCAUUACCAAUA